This is a long non-coding RNA of Cercocebus atys (sooty mangabey), 1563 nucleotides long. RefSeq lists it as uncharacterized. The transcript has 6 exons. The record is from RefSeq and is a predicted model, not a curated record. NCBI's taxonomy places the organism in Eukaryota, Metazoa, Chordata, Mammalia, Primates, Cercopithecidae.
UUCCUGAGUCAACAACUGUGUUUGCCUUUUCACCCCAGUUGUCCCGGCUGCUGGUGGCCAUGAUUCAGUUUAUAUACUUCUAACAGGAAUACCCCACAAGUGACAUCGUACCUUUCUGAGUGCAUCUUACGAAGAGGCACAGAACUUGGUUUCUUGAGAUACUGGUGCUGCUAACUCGGAUCACUUGGUUAACAUGUCACUCUGUUGUAAAGCACAUCUGUGCACCGAGGGCACUCGUGGAGCUUCCAGCAAUUGCAGCGGUGGAAGAAGUAGAGGAGAUACUUGCAGAUAAAGGGGUGUUUUCCUCUCUGUUUCUAAGCUUCAGGAGCCUUCAGAGGUAGCUGUCUGUAGAGCUGUAGUUUGAGGUUUGUAACAGGCAGGAAAACUCGAGGCCGAAAACAGUUCCUUAUUUACAUUUCAGUUUUGAGGGUGAAUGGCAGGAAAUGGGAUGAAAUUAAUCGCCAUUUUUCAGGCCCCCGAAACAAUAAAUUCCAGCAGCCAUAAAUUUGGAGCUGGGUUAAGUACUGAAAACAAUUUAUUGCUAAUUUUUCCUUUAAUUGCAUUCCCAAGAAGAAGGGUUUGGUGCUUACUGGUGGCAUUAUUAUAUAAAAAUUAUUCGUUAGAAAGCACAGUGAACAGUAAAUCAGAAGCUUACCUGAAACAGGGUCAGGGUUCCUCACAAUUCAUCCUCACCCUCACCCAGCCUGUCUCCAGCGAGGUCUUCAGGAAAGAAAAGGAUCAGGGAAAAUGCUCCCGCUGUCCCCUCGCCCCUCCUCUGUGACACUGUGCGCAGAUUAGGUGUUGAUUCAAUAAGAUGCUUCACCUUCUAAAAGUGAUAGUGUGAAUCACGUGUGGAAGCAGAGGGGACAUAAUGGAACAUCACUGCACGGCAUCCCUGCCUCAUUUAAUUUGUUUUGAGGCUGCUAGCCGUGUCAGGCUAACUGCACUUGAGGCCAGUCAACAGCCUGACUCUGUUGGUGGAGAAAGUUGAAAGACAGUGGCAUGGUGUCAGAAGCUGCUGGGAUGAAGUCAACAUCCGUUCCCGUCUCCCCUUGGGAAAGCCGUGUUCCAGGGCAAAGAGAGAGUGAUGGAUUUGCCAUUCCAAACCAGCCGUAGGUGGAGCCUGUGCCCAUCGGAGAGCUCCUGGAGGUUGAAACUGCAAUUCUGACGGCCAUUUGGGGAAGAGCCAAUGGGUGCCAAGUGUUUAUGACGUGACAAGUACAUCUGCAUCACGGAUGGUGAGAGUCUUGCUCUGUCUCCCAGGUUGGAGUGCAGUGGCAUGAUCUCAGCUCACUGCAACUUCCACCUCCUGGGUUCAAGUGGUUCUCCUGCCUUGACCUCCCAAGUCGCUGGGAUUACAGGUGCCUGCCACCACACCUGGCUAAUUUUUGUAUUUUUAAUAGAGAUGAGGUUUCACCAUGUUGGCCAGGCUGGUCUUGAACUCUCGACCUCAGGCCAGCCAAGGCAGAGGCUCACAGAUGGAACUGCAGGCCACAGCAUCACCCCAUCUCUCAAUCUUAUGACAGCUGACUAUCAAGAAAUUUCUGUAAAAAGAAAUCAUUA